This 497-nucleotide ribosomal RNA is filed under the name uncultured bacterium. RNAcentral describes it as "partial 16S ribosomal RNA". It matches the Rfam family "Bacterial small subunit ribosomal RNA", at positions 28 to 507 of the family's 1533-position model. The record is from RNAcentral.
GAUGAACGCUGGCGGCGUGCCUAAUACAUGCAAGUCGAGCGAACAGAUAAGGAGCUUGCUCCUUUGACGUUAGCGGCGGACGGGUGAGUAACACGUGGAUAACCUACCUAUAAGACUGGGAUAACUUCGGGAAACCGGAGCUAAUACCGGAUAACAUAUUGAACCGCAUGGUUCAAUAGUGAAAGGCGGCUUUGCUGUCACUUAUAGAUGGAUCCGCGCCGUAUUAGCUAGUUGGUAAGGUAACGGCUUACCAAGGCAACGAUACGUAGCCGACCUGAGAGGGUGGUCGGCCACACUGGAACUGAGACACGGUCCAGACUCCUACGGGAGGCAGCAGUAGGGAAUCUUCCGCAAUGGGCGAAAGCCUGACGGAGCAACGCCGCGUGAGUGAUGAAGGUCUUCGGAUCGUAAAACCCUGUUGUCAGGGAAGAACAAAUGUGUAAGUAACUGUGCACAUCUUGACGGUACCUGAUCAGAAAGCCACGGCUAACUACGUG